RNAcentral lists this microRNA precursor (70 nucleotides) under Thamnophis sirtalis. Its description in RNAcentral is "mir-24 microRNA precursor family". It matches the Rfam family "mir-24 microRNA precursor family". Rfam says of the family: This family represents the microRNA (miRNA) mir-24 family. miRNAs are transcribed as ~70nt precursors (modelled here) and subsequently processed by the Dicer enzyme to give a ~22nt product. In this case the mature sequence comes from the 3' arm of the precursor. RNAcentral also lists the same sequence under 1 other name. The record is from Rfam by way of RNAcentral. Lineage: Eukaryota; Metazoa; Chordata; Lepidosauria; Squamata; Natricidae.
GCCUCCCGUGCCUACUGAGCUGAUACUCAGUUGCUUUGGAAAAACUGGCUCAGUUCAGCAGGAACAGGAG